GACGAACGCUGGCGGCGUGCUUAACACAUGCAAGUCGAACGGAAAGGCCCUGCUUUUGUGGGGUGCUCGAGUGGCGAACGGGUGAGUAACACGUGAGUCACCUGCCCUUGACUUUGGGAUAACUUCAGGAAACUGGGGCUAAUACCGGCUAGGAGCUCCUGCUGCAUGGUGGGGGUUGGAAAGUUUCGGCGGUUGGGGAUGGACUCGCGGCUUAUCAGCUUGUUGGUGGGGUAGUGGCUUACCAAGGCUUUGACGGGUAGCCGGCCUGAGAGGGUGACCGGCCACAUUGGGACUGAGAGACGGCCCAGACUCCUACGGGAGGCAGCAGUGGGGAAUAUUGCACAAUGGGCGGAAGCCUGAUGCAGCAACGCCGCGUGCGGGAUGACGGCCUUCGGGUGGUAAACCGCUUUCGCCUGUGACGAAGCGGGAGUGACGGUAAUGGGUAAAGAAGCACCGGCUAACUACGUG
Molecule: ribosomal RNA, 468 nt
Filed under: uncultured bacterium
Lineage: Bacteria
Description: partial 16S ribosomal RNA
Rfam family: Bacterial small subunit ribosomal RNA
Source: RNAcentral